GGUCGUAUGGUCUAAUGGUUAUGACAUCAGACUCUGAUUUAUUUAGAGUCAUAUCUGGUAAUCCCGGUUCGAUCCCGGGUACGACCU
This is a transfer RNA of Aspergillus versicolor CBS 583.65, 87 nucleotides long. It matches the Rfam family "tRNA". Rfam says of the family: Transfer RNA (tRNA) molecules are approximately 80 nucleotides in length. Their secondary structure includes four short double-helical elements and three loops (D, anti-codon, and T loops). NCBI's taxonomy places the organism in Eukaryota, Fungi, Ascomycota, Eurotiomycetes, Eurotiales, Aspergillaceae. The record is from Rfam.